This 492-nucleotide ribosomal RNA is filed under the name uncultured bacterium. RNAcentral describes it as "partial 16S ribosomal RNA". It matches the Rfam family "Bacterial small subunit ribosomal RNA", at positions 28 to 507 of the family's 1533-position model. The record is from RNAcentral.
GACGAACGCUGGCGGCGUGCUUAACACAUGCAAGUCGAACGGAAAGGCCCCCACUUUUUUGGUGGGGGUGCUCGAGUGGCGAACGGGUGAGUAACACGUGGGUGAUCUGCCCUGUACUUCGGGAUAAGCUUGGGAAACUGGGUCUAAUACCGGAUAGGACCAUGGUUUAGUGUCUCAUGUUGGAAAAAUUAUUGUUUUGGUGCAGGAUGAGCUCGCGGCCUAUCAGCUUGUUGGUGGGGUAAUGGCCUACCAAGGCGUCGACGGGUAGCCGGCCUGAGAGGGUGGACGGCCAGAUUGAGACUGAGAUACGGCCCAGACUCCUACGGGCGGCAGCAGUGGGGAAUAUUGCACAAUGGGCGCAAGCCUGAUGCAGCGACGCCGCGUGGGGGAUGACGGCCUUCGGGUUGUAAACGCCUUUCGUUAGGGACGAAGCCGCACCUUUUUUGGGUGUGGUGACGGUACCUUGGUUAAGAAGCACCGGCUAACUACGUG